AGGGGGACCGGCGGUCCGGGCGAGGCCUCGGCCGCGCAUCGCACCCCGGCUCCCCGCCGCCGGAGUUGAGGGGGAGGCGCGCUCUCCGUAAGAGCCGGAGGCGGGGCGCCAUCGCCCUCCCACUCCCCGGCGGGCGGGCCGGGGGAGCCCGGGGCUGCGAACACCCCCAGACGGGCGGCUGCGGGAGGGGAGGCUGGACCAAGGGGCCUGGUCCACCGGACCAGCGGUGGCGGCAUCGGCAUCUCGCCUCCUUCAGGCCUGCACGCGCCACAGGCCGCAGCCUGGACCAACCCCGCGUCCCCGGGCCGUGAGCGCUGCGGUCCCGGCCCCCCAGAGCGGGACGCCGGGCGGCCGCAGCCCCCCGGACCCGGCUCUCCGCCCGCUCCGCCCGCAGUCCCGGCGCGGAGAGCGGCCGCCCGAGCCGCUGCCGCGGCAGCGCGGGUGUCGGCGACGGAGCCCGGGGCGGGGAAGAGCGGAGGAAGGGGCGGCGAGGGGGCGGGCCGGCGGCGGCCAGGGAGGUCGGAGUGCGCGGGGCUCGGCACCCCCUCGGCCCGCGCUGCGCCAGCACCACCUGCGGAGCUGCGGUGCCCACGCCGUGCCGCGACCCCGCCGCCCCUGCUCCCUCCACACGCGGGCAAACAAAACAAGUUGCCGGUCGCUGCCGCCGGAGGGGGCCGGGCGGGUCACUCACCCUCAUCCUGCUCAGCGGGCUUGGGUCGUCCGGCCGCGGGGUCAGGGAAGACCAGAGGACCACUAGCCCCAGGAAGCUUCCCACCACCAGCAAACUGCGUGGUGAAUUUGUAACCGAAAGGCCCAGGUGAGAUGUGCAAAUAUCACUGGAUUGGAGGAGCUCACUUGGAAAGCCAGUAUUCCUCCUGAGCUAAUGAAAAGAAAGGCUGUCGUCUUAUGCCAAAAGCAAUACCAACCUUGUUCACGGGCUGAGAUCUAGAGUGUGUAAUUCACGAAGUAUGAAUCUGCUGGGUAAUGUGAUAUGAAAAGCGAAUGCACCAUUUCUUGGUGAUGAUUCAGGUCAGCGUUGGGACCCAGGAAUCUCCUGUUAAUCAGUACCCUGGUGAUUUUGAUCCAGAGACGGGGUCUAUUAUCUGGUCCUGUUGUCAAGGCUGGUCUCAAACUCCUGGCCUCCAGCGAUCCUCCCUUUUUGGCCUCCCAAGAUGCUGGUAUUACAGGCAUGAGCCACCAUGGUCCACCCGGACUCCUUUUCAUAGGAGACAGUUCCCUAGGCAGAGACUGGGCUUGAAACAGUUCCUCUAAAGAAGAGGGUAGAGACUAGAACUGAAUGAGAUGGACAUAGAGAUGGCCAAGAAAAGCAUCGUCCUCUGCCAAGUCAUGGGGUCAUGUGUGGUGGAUGGUGACAUGGUGUCCUCAGCUCAGAGUCCAGCUGGGGGCUCAGAAGCAAGAUAAAAAUGUGUAUGAAGGUGGAGCCUUGUCUAUCUAGUUCGUUAUUGUUAUCCGUGUCUGAUUGUUCAUGUUGGAAGGCAUACUUUCUGAACUCUUCUCAAGUGAUGAUAAAAUGGACUAGUUGAUAAAUCUUUCUGGUACAGGUUUUCAAAACUUCCAUCUAUCCACUGUGCUUUCAUGUUAAAGAAAGAAUGGAAACAUCAUCUCUAAAACAAGAUAAACAGCUCUGGGGCUGAGGAGGCCAGCCUGCUACUGGGUAGUUUUGAUAUCAGAAGUAUUUCAAAACCUCUCCCUUGUGGAGGAUGAGUUAUAUACCCACCCUGGGGCAUCAACAUGAAGCUGCUGCCCAGUGUGCCAUUGACGGAACGCUGCAGGUCGGACAGGCCGCUCCUGCUAAAGUGUAACUUAAGUUAUUCUCACAGAAGUACCAUCCCACAGAACCCACCCGGGGGACUGUGGUUCUACACUGACUCAGUGAUCAGAGUGGGGACAUUUUCUUAUCCUUCCAGAGACUGACAAGAGAGGGGACCUGAAGGUACCUUGAUCUCACAGCUGCAUCCUGAUACAUAUAUUUUUAAUACUGUGAUGGGAAUAAAUUACUCUGAGGCUCCC
RNAcentral lists this long non-coding RNA (2031 nucleotides) under Homo sapiens (human). Its description in RNAcentral is "non-protein coding lnc-HMGB2-3:22". Lineage: Eukaryota; Metazoa; Chordata; Mammalia; Primates; Hominidae. The record is from RNAcentral.